UUAAGCGACUAAGCGUACACGGUGGAUGCCCUGGCAGUCAGAGGCGAUGAAGGACGUGCUAAUCUGCGAUAAGCGUCGGUAAGGUGAUAUGAACCGUUAUAACCGGCGAUUUCCGAAUGGGGAAACCCAGUGUGUUUCGACACACUAUCAUUAACUGAAUCCAUAGGUUAAUGAGGCGAACCGGGGGAACUGAAACAUCUAAGUACCCCGAGGAAAAGAAAUCAACCGAGAUUCCCCCAGUAGCGGCGAGCGAACGGGGAGCAGCCCAGAGCCUGAAUCAGUGUGUGUGUUAGUGGAAGCGUCUGGAAAGGCGCGCGAUACAGGGUGACAGCCCCGUACACAAAAAUGCACAUAUUGUGAGCUCGAUGAGUAGGGCGGGACACGUGGUAUCCUGUCUGAAUAUGGGGGGACCAUCCUCCAAGGCUAAAUACUCCUGACUGACCGAUAGUGAACCAGUACCGUGAGGGAAAGGCGAAAAGAACCCCGGCGAGGGGAGUGAAAAAGAACCUGAAACCGUGUACGUACAAGCAGUGGGAGCACGCUUAGGCGUGUGACUGCGUACCUUUUGUAUAAUGGGUCAGCGACUUAUAUUCUGUAGCAAGGUUAACCGAAUAGGGGAGCCGAAGGGAAACCGAGUCUUAACUGGGCGUUAAGUUGCAGGGUAUAGACCCGAAACCCGGUGAUCUAGCCAUGGGCAGGUUGAAGGUUGGGUAACACUAACUGGAGGACCGAACCGACUAAUGUUGAAAAAUUAGCGGAUGACUUGUGGCUGGGGGUGAAAGGCCAAUCAAACCGGGAGAUAGCUGGUUCUCCCCGAAAGCUAUUUAGGUAGCGCCUCGUGAAUUCAUCUCCGGGGGUAGAGCACUGUUUCGGCAAGGGGGUCAUCCCGACUUACCAACCCGAUGCAAACUGCGAAUACCGGAGAAUGUUAUCACGGGAGACACACGGCGGGUGCUAACGUCCGUCGUGAAGAGGGAAACAACCCAGACCGCCAGCUAAGGUCCCAAAGUCAUGGUUAAGUGGGAAACGAUGUGGGAAGGCCCAGACAGCCAGGAUGUUGGCUUAGAAGCAGCCAUCAUUUAAAGAAAGCGUAAUAGCUCACUGGUCGAGUCGGCCUGCGCGGAAGAUGUAACGGGGCUAAACCAUGCACCGAAGCUGCGGCAGCGACACUAUGUGUUGUUGGGUAGGGGAGCGUUCUGUAAGCCUGUGAAGGUGUGCUGUGAGGCAUGCUGGAGGUAUCAGAAGUGCGAAUGCUGACAUAAGUAACGAUAAAGCGGGUGAAAAGCCCGCUCGCCGGAAGACCAAGGGUUCCUGUCCAACGUUAAUCGGGGCAGGGUGAGUCGACCCCUAAGGCGAGGCCGAAAGGCGUAGUCGAUGGGAAACAGGUUAAUAUUCCUGUACUUGGUGUUACUGCGAAGGGGGGACGGAGAAGGCUAUGUUGGCCGGGCGACGGUUGUCCCGGUUUAAGCGUGUAGGCUGGUUUUCCAGGCAAAUCCGGAAAAUCAAGGCUGAGGCGUGAUGACGAGGCACUACGGUGCUGAAGCAACAAAUGCCCUGCUUCCAGGAAAAGCCUCUAAGCAUCAGGUAACAUCAAAUCGUACCCCAAACCGACACAGGUGGUCAGGUAGAGAAUACCAAGGCGCUUGAGAGAACUCGGGUGAAGGAACUAGGCAAAAUGGUGCCGUAACUUCGGGAGAAGGCACGCUGAUAUGUAGGUGAAGCGACUUGCUCGUGGAGCUGAAAUCAGUCGAAGAUACCAGCUGGCUGCAACUGUUUAUUAAAAACACAGCACUGUGCAAACACGAAAGUGGACGUAUACGGUGUGACGCCUGCCCGGUGCCGGAAGGUUAAUUGAUGGGGUUAGCGGUAACGCGAAGCUCUUGAUCGAAGCCCCGGUAAACGGCGGCCGUAACUAUAACGGUCCUAAGGUAGCGAAAUUCCUUGUCGGGU
RNAcentral lists this ribosomal RNA (1950 nucleotides) under human gut metagenome. Its description in RNAcentral is "bacterial LSU rRNA". It matches the Rfam family "Bacterial large subunit ribosomal RNA", at positions 1 to 1977 of the family's 2925-position model. The record is from RNAcentral.